CAAUUAAAAUUAAGGGCGGAUGGAGGAUGCCUUGGGAUAUCGAGGCGAUGAAGGACGUGGCGUGGCUGCGAUAAGCCUCGGGGAGGUGCUUAGCAACCUUUGAUCCGGGGAUUUCCGAAUGGGGAAACCCAAUUUCGUGAUAAACGAAAUUACCGAGUGCAUUAAUUAUGUACUUGGAGCGAACCCGCUGAAGUGAAACAUCUCAGUAAGCGGAGGAAAAGAAAAAAACAACCACUAAUAUACUCACGAAUUAAAAUCACUUUUAAUUACGGAGUAAUUACAAAGAGCCGAGCGACUGAUUUGUAUUUUCACGAAUUUGAAUUUGUUAUUAUUUGUGAAAGAUUCGUGUAAUUAUUAGUGGUACCAUUCCCUUAGUAGGGGCGACCGAAAAGGGAGAAGCCUAAACCUUGUCCUGUCUACGACAGGACGGGGGGUUGUAAGAAAGUAACGUCGGGAGUCAAGCACAUAAUUAUUUAUGUGCUCGGCUCAAGAGGGAGAACACUUAGACGGAGUUUGGUUAGGAGAAUUACCCUGGAAAGGGAAGCCAAAGAGGGUAAUAGCCCCGUAUCUAAAAAUCACUUCGUGCUCCUUGUUAUUUGUCUUGAGUACCACGGGAAACGAUAGCCCUGUGGGAAGCAUCCGUGACUAAAACGGAAAGGCUAAAUACUCGAUAUCACCGAUAGUGAACUAGUACCGUGAGGGAAAGGUGAAAAGUAGGGAGGUGAUCCCGGUGAAAUAGAACCUGAAACCAUCUCGCCCACAAAGAGUCGGAGCUCGUCCUACGCUCUUUGCUUCGCGUCGAGCUUCGGAACGACAAGCUAUAUAAAAAUAUUGAAUAUUAUAUGUAGGGCUUGCCAUUCCGUAGCUCCGAACGAAGUGAGGAGCGUAGGGUGGGUGACGGCGUGCUUUUUGCAGAACGAGCCAACGAGUCUAAGUACUCAGUUUAGUCUAAGGGGUUUUGCCCCGAAGGCACAGCGAAAGCAAGUGUUAAAAGCGCAACAAUACUGAGUGUUUAGGACCCGAAGCCAAGCGAGCUUACCAUGGCCAGGGUGAAUCUUUCCGAAAGGCGAGAGGAGGCCCGAACCCGUGAGCCGUGCAAUACUCUGGGAUGAGCUGUGGUAAGAAGUGAAAAGCUAAUCGAGCUUGGUAAUAGCUGGUUCUCCCCGAAAUAGCUUUAGGGCUAGCCCGAGUUUAUACUACCUGCAGGGGUAGAGCACUGAAUGGGUUAUCUUGGGUUUUACUCAGACAAUUCAAUCAAACUCCGAAUACUGUAGGUAUGCGCUCGGAGUCAGACUAUGGGGGCUAAGCUCCGUGGUCGAAAGGGAAACAGCCCAGACCUUCAUCUAAGGUCCCUAAACUUCCACCUUUACGGUGGAUCAGCCGAUGAGGCUGAGAGCUAAGUGUUUUUAAGGAAGUGGGGUUUCAUUGAUAAUUAGGAGGUUAGCUUAGAAGCAGCUAUCCUUUAAAAAGUGCGUAACAGCUUACUAACUAAGAAGCCCUGCGCCGAAGAUUUACGGGACUCAAGCUCGGUACCGAAGAUAAGGAUGCCAUUGUUUUUUGCAGUGGCGUGGUAGGGGAGCGUCUUCUUGGCAGCGAAGCCCAACCGCGAGGAAAGGUGGAGCCAAGAGGAGUGAGAAUGUUGGCAUGAGUAACCGCAAGGCGGGUGAGAGCCCCGCCCACCGAAAACCUAAGGUUUCCUUGGCAAUGACAAUCAGCCAAGGGUUAGGCGGACCUAAGACAAACCCGAAAGGGGUAGUCGAUGGACAGCCGGUUAAUAUUCCGGCCCCCGUGUACGUAAUUCUAAAAAGGGACGGAGUUCAGUAAUUCGAGCAGAUUAUUGGAUUUCUGUUGUUAGUCUAAGAUUUUUUCAAGGGCUAACAGGAAGCUGAGCCUCGGCUCAGUGAACUCGAAUGAGCGGGCUCCCCAGAAAAUCUUUUUAGGAGUUAUUUAUGUGCUCGGUCCGUACCGUAAACCGACACAGGUAGGUAAGUGUAAGUGCACUAAGGUGAACGAGUGAAAGCUUCUGAAGGAACUCGGCAAAAAAGUAGGCGUAACUUCGGGAUAAGCCUUGCCCCGGUGAUGAAUCGGGGCCGCAGUGAAAGUACCCCUGGCGACUGUUUACCAAAAACACAGGUCCCUGCUAAACUCGUAAGAGGAUGUAUAGGGGCUGAGGCCUGACCAGUGCUGGAACGUUAAGCUCGCCGGUCUCUGUCCUUUUGGAUGGAAUGCUGAGUGAGUGAAGCGCCAGUGAACGUCGGCGGUAACUAUAACCGUCCAAAGGUAGCGUAAUCCCUUGCCAGGUAAGUUCUGGCCCGCAUGAAAGGUUUAACGACUAGGGGACUGUCUCCAGAAGCAGCUCGGUGAAAAUGCAAUACCGGUGAAGAUGCCGGUUACCUGCGGCUAGACGGAAAGACCCCGGAAGCUUUACUAUAGCUUGGUAUUGGAUUUUGAGUUUGGAUGCGUAGCAUAGUGGGGAGGCUUUGAAAGACAGAUCUCGGUCUGUCUGGAGCCACCAGUGAAAUACCCAUCUUCUAAAUUCUUUAUCCUAAUCUGGUUGUUUCAAAAGCAACUGGAUACAGUGCCAGGUGGGUAGUUUAAGUGGGGCGCUUGCCUCCUAAAAGGUAACGGAGGCGUUUAAAGGUCGGCUAACCAAGGAUGGAAAUCUUGGUGAUAGGGCAAAGCCAAAAGCCGGCUUUACUGCGAGCAGGAUAUUGCGAGCAGUUGGGAAACCAGAACUUAGUGAACCGAUGGUAGUUAUUAGGACCGCCAGAGAUCAUCAGCUAAAAGUUACUCCGGGGAUAACAGGCUAGUAGGGCCCGAGAGUCCACAUCAACGGCCCUGUUCGGCACCUCGAUGUCGGCUCAUCACAUCCUGGGGGUGAAGCAGCUCCCAAGGGUUUGGCUGUUCGCCAAUUAAAGUGGUACGUGAGCUGGGUUCAGACCGUCAAAAAAAGAAUCUUUAGACAUCGGGUAGACGCGGCGGCUUUCACGAGUAAUCGUGAUCGAACAAACCGACUUAUAUCGGUGAAACCCUUAUAUUUUUUCCUGUCGGAAUAAGGGCAAUACCGAGGAAACCCUAUUUUUAAACAAAAAACAGGGGUUCCGUAGAGACUUCCGAGCACAUAGAAUUUUAUGUGCUUGGGGAUGGAAGUGUUUUAACUUUCCAUAAUACGUCGGUCCCCAACCCCAAUUUUGAAAAAUUGGAGCUGGGUGGUGAUAUAGUCCAUACACUUAGUAAUAAGUGAGAAACCAAAGCACAAAAAAUGAAAUUUUUGUGCUCGGUCGAGCAUAUAAAAUAUUAUAUGCUUUGAUAUGCGUGAGACAGGUUGGUCCCUAUCUACCGCAGGCGUUGAACCUUGAGAGGAGUUGUCUCUAGUACGAGAGGACCGAGAUGAACCAACCUCUGGUCUACCAGUUGUCCUGCCAAGGGCAUAGCUGGGUAGCUAAGUUGGGAAGGGAUAAGCGCUGAAAGCAUCUAAGCACGAAGCCCACCUCGAGAUAAGGGUUCUUAGUUUCCUCAGAGAUUAUGAGGUUGAUAGGAUGUAGGUGUAAGUCCUGUAAAGGAUUAAGCCGAGCAUUACUAAUCAAACGAUU
Molecule: ribosomal RNA, 3593 nt
Filed under: Candidatus Nealsoniibacteriota bacterium
Lineage: Bacteria; Candidatus Nealsoniibacteriota
Description: 23S ribosomal RNA
Rfam family: Bacterial large subunit ribosomal RNA
Source: RNAcentral